AACGCGUGGCGGUCUAUAAUGCAGUCGAGCGACUGAUUAGAAGCUUGCUUCUAUGACGUUAGCGGCGGACGGGUGAGUAACACGUGGGCAACCUGCCUGUAAGACUGGGAUAACUCCGGGAAACCGGAGCUAAUACCGGAUAACAUUUUCUCUUGCAUAAGAGAAAAUUGAAAGAUGGUUUCGGCUAUCACUUACAGAUGGGCCCGCGGUGCAUUAGCUAGUUGGUGAGGUAACGGCUCACCAAGGCAACGAUGCAUAGCCGACCUGAGAGGGUGAUCGGCCACACUGGGACUGAGACACGGCCCAGACUCCUACGGGAGGCAGCAGUAGGGAAUCUUCCGCAAUGGACGAAAGUCUGACGGAGCAACGCCGCGUGAGUGAUGAAGGC
Molecule: ribosomal RNA, 388 nt
Filed under: Priestia flexa
Lineage: Bacteria; Bacillati; Bacillota; Bacilli; Caryophanales; Bacillaceae
Description: bacterial SSU rRNA
Rfam family: Bacterial small subunit ribosomal RNA
Source: RNAcentral